RNAcentral lists this long non-coding RNA (229 nucleotides) under Ananas comosus (pineapple). RNAcentral's name for it is "long non-coding RNA (ACOM_LNC008975)". Lineage: Eukaryota; Viridiplantae; Streptophyta; Magnoliopsida; Poales; Bromeliaceae. The record is from RNAcentral.
AAAAGGAAGGAGAAGAAGGAGAAGAAGGUUUGGGAGCUCUUCUUCACCUCAUCUUUGGCUUAGGGCUUGCUUUGGAGCAAACCCUAGAGGUAAGCCUCAACCCUAAUAUGAGAUUUCUAGGGUUUAAGGUUUUUGGAUGGUUUUUGUUGCUUUAAUUGGUUCAAAUGGAACCUAAUGAGUUUAGAAAUGAUGGAUCUAGCUCAUAUUGAGGCUAGCACCCAUGGUUUUC